This 579-nucleotide ribosomal RNA is filed under the name uncultured bacterium. RNAcentral's name for it is "bacterial SSU rRNA". It matches the Rfam family "Bacterial small subunit ribosomal RNA", at positions 253 to 872 of the family's 1533-position model. The record is from RNAcentral.
CGGGGUAACGGCCCACCAAGGCGACGAUCAGUAGGGGUUCUGAGAGGAAGGUCCCCCACAUUGGAACUGAGACACGGUCCAAACUCCUACGGGAGGCAGCAGUGAGGAAUAUUGGUCAAUGGGCGCGAGCCUGAACCAGCCAAGUAGCGUGCAGGAAGACGGCCUAUGGGUUGUAAACUGCUUUUAUGCGGGGAUAGGUACCGCAUGAAUAAGGACCGGCUAAUUCCGUGCCAGCAGCGGCGGUAAUACGGAAGGUCCGGGCGUUAUCCGGAUUUAUUGGGUUUAAAGGGAGCGUAGGCCGUCUGUUAAGCGUGUUGUGAAAUGUCGUGGCUCAACCGGGGCACUGCAGCGCGAACUGGCAGACUUGAGUGCACGGUAGGAAGGCGGAAUUCGUCGUGUAGCGGUGAAAUGCUUAGAUAUGACGAAGAACUCCGAUUGCGAAGGCAGCUUUCCGUAGUGUAACUGACGCUGAAGCUCGAAAGCGUGGGUAUCGAACAGGAUUAGAUACCCUGGUAGUCCACGCGGUAAACGAUGGAUGCUCGCUUUUAAGCGGCCAAGCGAAAGCGCUAAGCAUCCCAC